This 345-nucleotide unclassified non-coding RNA is filed under the name soil metagenome. RNAcentral's name for it is "partial contains 5.8S ribosomal RNA, internal transcribed spacer 2, and large subunit ribosomal RNA". The stretch from base 1 to 119 matches the Rfam family "5.8S ribosomal RNA", at positions 35 to 154 of the family's 154-position model. The record is from RNAcentral.
GAUGAAGAACGUAGCGAAAUGCGAUACGUAAUUUGAAUUGCAAAUUCAGUGAAUCAUCGAGUCUUUGAACGCACAUUGCGCCCCCUGGUAUUCCGGGGGGCAUGCCUGUCCGAGCGUCAUUGCUGCCCUCAAGCACGGCUUGUGUGUUGGGCCCCGUCCUCCGAUCCCGGGGGACGGGCCCGAAAGGCAGCGGCGGCACCGCGUCCGGUCCUCGAGCGUAUGGGGCUUUGUCACCCGCUCUGUAGGCCCGGCCGGCGCUUGCCGAUCAACCCAAAUUUUUAUCCAGGUUGACCUCGGAUCAGGUAGGGAUACCCGCUGAACUUAAGCAUAUCAAUAAGCGGAGGA